Long non-coding RNA from Coregonus clupeaformis (lake whitefish), 279 nucleotides. RefSeq lists it as uncharacterized. The record is from RefSeq and is a predicted model, not a curated record. Lineage: Eukaryota; Metazoa; Chordata; Actinopteri; Salmoniformes; Salmonidae. The transcript has 4 exons.
CCAGCCCCAGAGCACCAACCAGGACCACCAACAGGACCAAGGAUCUACCCUGGGCCGGGCUCCUGAUGCUGGGUAUACACUUCUGCAACAUGGUGGUGCUAACAUCUACGAUACGAUCAAUUCCUCAGACAACAAUGAUAAUGAUGGUGCUGCUGCUGGAACAAGUCAUGUGACAUACGCCCAGAUUCAACUCAAAAAGUUGGACAAGAAAAAGAAAGAAAAGCCAGCUGAUCCAAAAGAAAAUCCAGUCUACUCUGAGGUGAAGACAGGGAAAGCCAC